Molecule: ribosomal RNA, 497 nt
Filed under: uncultured bacterium
Lineage: Bacteria
Description: partial 16S ribosomal RNA
Rfam family: Bacterial small subunit ribosomal RNA
Source: RNAcentral
GAUGAACGCUGGCGGCGUGCCUAAUACAUGCAAGUCGAGCGAACAGACGAGGAGCUUGCUCCUCUGACGUUAGCGGCGGACGGGUGAGUAACACGUGGAUAACCUACCUAUAAGACUGGGAUAACUUCGGGAAACCGGAGCUAAUACCGGAUAAUAUAUUGAACCGCAUGGUUCAAUAGUGAAAGACGGUUUUGCUUUCACCUAUAGAUGGAUCCGCGCCGCAUUAGCUAGUUGGUAAGGUAACGGCUUACCAAGGCAACGAUGCGUAGCCGACCUGAGAGGGUGAUCGGCCACACUGGAACUGAGACACGGUCCAGACUCCUACGGGAGGCAGCAGUAGGGAAUCUUCCGCAAUGGGCGAAAGCCUGACGGAGCAACGCCGCGUGAGUGAUGAAGGUCUUCGGAUCGUAAAACUCUGUUAUUAGGGAAGAACAAAUGUGUAAGUAACUAUGCACGUCUUGACGGUACCUAAUCAGAAAGCCACGGCUAACUACGUG